CUGAUGUAACAUGGCCAGUGGAUGUCUCUGGCUCUCAGCCUCCUUGGCCCCACAGUGGCCGAGCCGAGGGUGGGCUGGGCGGGGAAGGGCGCUGGCACCGGGCUGGGCUCGCCUGCCCCAGCACCCAGUGCUGCCCUUCCGAAACCCGCCCGGCCCCUGCCCCGAAUGCCACUUCUGUCCUGCAGAAAACCUUCCAGUAGGAACACCAAACUUUUACUUCAAGCCCAUCUCAGCCACAACGCUACCACCAGUGUUUUCACCAAAUGUUAUUGUACUCUUCAACGCACGUAUGACACCACGGAGCAAGGCUGUGGCAAGAGGACAGUCACACCCUUCUGCAGGUGGUUCUGUCCUGUGGCCCUCACUGCACGGCCCUGGAGGAGUUUGGGCUAAACAAGAGGAUCAAGGAUCAGCUCCUGCUGCUGAAACCAAGUGGCACUGAGAUACUCUUCCCACACUGCCAGGCAGAGCUCCUCCAGCAGGAUGGGUGUCCAUGCCAUGGUGCACGUUGUCCUGCCAUCUCUGCCAUGGCCUGGACAUCCAAGAGUGUCUUCACUACGACAUGCAAGAGAAAAAUAACAACCCCAGCAGGAUGUCAGGAAGAUAAAUUCAUUAAUAUUUGUGGAGAACUAGAGCACUACAAUGAGAGUACUAUGGGAAAGCCCAUGAGAAAAUGAGUGAUUCUCUAUUCAGCGCUGCAUUUGGAUGGAGAGCAGUAAAUAAUGGAUAGGGCAGACAUUGAGAGAGCUUACCUCUGUAUUACAAGGACCAGGUUCCUAUGAGCUUCUGAGGAGAGGGCUUCUUGAAAUGCAUGACAGGGACAGAGACAGACCAUGGACAAGGUGGAAGAACUAGCUCCAUCAGUGACCAGACUUUUCAAACUGAAUUAAACUGUUUUUGAUACCUUAUGCCUUUGAUGUGGUAACAGGACCUUCUGUAAUCAUGUGAGGAAUUGAGCUUUGAUGCAUCAGUGAGCCUUUCUCCAGCAGGUAAUAGAACAUUUGCAAGAAGAGUCUUUUGUUUAUCUUCCUAGGCUGCCAAUCCAUUGAACUGAAUUGAAAUGAAUUCAUUAAUUGAAACCUACUUGAUCAUUUUAGAGAAGAUUUCUGAUUUCUGUUAAGCAACAUCUGGCUAAAAACUUUCCCCUUUCCUAAAUGUGAAGAGAAGAAAAUAUAUGAUGUUCCUAUCUAGGGGACUUGGUGAGAGCACUCAAUCUUCAACUUGAAGAAGGGACAAAACUCCUGAAAGAUGUUAAAUACAGCAGUUCAGGGGUGGCCGCUAUUUAGGCAACACAGUAAUUACAGAUGGCCUACCAAAACCUAGUGUUUUCAGAGUGCUUCUCAGUCAAAACAUACUGUGUAAUGGACAUGAGGCUUGUACUUCAGCUGAUACCCCCCCCCCGACUCCUAGGGAAGAAGAUAUUAGGAUACCUUGUGCUGAGUCUCAGAUGCACAGCUUCUCACUGCUAUGGUUACACUGGGAGCAGAGCAGCAGACCUGUGGCAUUCACAUUCUCUGAACAGGAUUCCUUCGCCCAGGGUUUUUCUCCUGGGAAGCUGAAAGGCAGCGAGAGGCCUCAGAGAAAAGAAAAACAGUUCUUAUCUCAUUUGCUUCUCCUGUGUUGUGCUCAUGUGGAAUGUUUGGAGAUUGUUUACCCAAGGUGAUUGUUUGAUUGGACUCUGGUGUGAGUUGUUUUGACGCAUUGGCCAGUUAGCGCCAAGCUGUGUCGGGACUCUAGAAAGAGUCAUGAGUUUUCAUAAUUAUCUUUUUAGCAUUCAGAAAGUAUCUUUUCUGUAUUCUUUAGUAUAGUAUUCUUUAAUAUAAUAUAGUAUCAUAAAAUAAUAAAUUAGCCUUCUGACAACAUGGAAUCAAAUGCAUUGUUCUUCCCUGCCAUGGGGCUCGCCGUGCAUUUACAGUACAGACCCCCCUUCUGCCUUGGGUACGGCUGCACCACCGCCAAGAGCAGCAACAGUGCUUACACAGGAUCACCUGGGGAAGGUAAGGGGUAGCAGCUGAAAAUGCAAACAAAAUAAAAGCUGUACUUUAAAAAGAGCACAGUUGGGACAACCUAGAACAGUUUAUAGCUCCUCCUGGCUGCUCUUCUCUUCUAGAAGAAACUGGAAAACCCCUUUGUAAACUUGGGAGAACAGAGACCAGGUCUGCUCUUCAGCUGCCACUGACUCAAGCUUGGCAGACUGGCUUAAAUGGCCAUCAAUCCCAGUUAAACCUAAAGUGCUGGACUGUGGGCUGGUGUGACUGGGAAGCAAACACACUGGUUUUGCUUUGGGCAUGGUGACAUCCACAGAGAGGUGCAGCAGAUCCUGGGGGCACUACAUGCUGAAUUGUUCCAGCAUGAAUCAACACAGGUUUACUGGUGUCACUCUACUUUAAGGCACCCUUAUGCAGUUGGAUUGCUGUUGUUCAUGAAAAAAAGAGCCUUUUUCUUAACUCUUUUCUAAGGAUUAAAUUACCAUUAAAGAGCCUGAGGUUUUGUCUUGGGCGUUUCAUUGGCAAAUGGUCUGUGUGGGGACCUGGACAAAAGACUCGCCUUGAGACAGUGAUCACAUUUAUUUUCUUGCCUUCACUGUCUUCUUCAGGGCCAGUAGCUUUACAGACUCUUCCUGAGAAGGUUUCAAUGCUCUCAGAAGAAGAACAGUCUUGUAAAAAGUCUAUUUCUUAGUAAAUUUAUGAAAAAUAAGACAUAGAACAAAAUUAUGAUUAACAUUUUCUAGAGGCUGUCAUCUAGUUCAUCUUCCCUGUCAAUUUAAUCCAUCCUGCUCAUAUAUAACUGUAGGGGGAUAGAACAUAAGAAAAUAAGGAUAGUGCAGAAAGUAAUGUUACCCCUAAGGAGUUGCAGUUGGGCCAAUUAUCAAAGAUUAGAACAGGCCUGACUUUAACAGGCCACAGCUGUAACCAAUGAGAAGAAGAGUGCUAUAAAAGAGUGGGCUGGCUGGUUGAGAAGGGAAUUGGAGUCAGUUGGCUACUUUGUGAAGAAGAAAGAGUCAGUGCUCUGAGGAGCUGCCCAUGAGAAAACAUCAAGAAGGUGUAAAACUUUUGUGAUAAGGAGACAACAGCAUGGAACCCCUGCAAUAAGAUGACAACAGAUAACCUCUUCCAAUAAGAAGUAUUACCUGAGUUGCUAAUUUAUUCUUAAUUCUAGACUGCAGAAAUCCAUUCUGACUUGUCUAAAGUUACACUUAGAACCAAACUGUAUAUUUAUUAAAUUCAGGAAAAAAACAAAAAUCUCAGUUUCUCAGUGGGUUUCAGCCUUUAGGCAAAGAUAAUUCAAACUGGUUUAUUUUCAUCAGUAUAACUAUGUGCUACAUACAAGUUCCACUCUCCAUUGAAAGCAGAGGGUGGAUCUUCCACACUAACUGUGCAGUGUGAGUUAGGAUCUCUACAGAGUCACAUGAUGUCCAUUUGAUCCUGUUCUCGCUAUUGAAAAUCUAUAAAGAUGACGAAUGAAUCCUAGCAUCUAAAGAGAUUGUCACCUGCAGCUAUCUGCUUCUCUACCCCAUUUUCUCCCUCACCAAGGUUACAGCUGCCUCAGGCAAACAGCCAUUCACCACAGUGAGUGAUCCUCAGCCACCUUGCAGCAGAGUCAGGGAGCUCAGCAUAAACUUUUAGUACAGGUGAACAUAAACUGUCAGGUUUUGGACCAACAUGGUAACACAUGGACUUGUAUUUGAUCCACCUGGCUCCUAGCUGCGAGGUGAUUUUUUGGCUGAGCUCAGGUUUAUAAGGGUCUAUUUGGAAACAGCAGCAUACUCUGAUAAUGUUUUAAUAUUCUAGAUAUCCUCUCAGGACAGACACCUCCCUCUUUCCCCCUAUUACCUCUUUUAAUCUUUCUUGGGUAAAACUGGCUCAGUUAACACAAUAUAACAACGAUGGUUGUGUUAGCCAUCUACAGCUAAUUUCAGAUACCAUGGGCAACCCUUGAAAAGGAUGCAUGUCCACAAGCUAAUGUCUUAAAAUGGUCACUUAAAUAUGACCAACAUUGGGCAAGAGAGAGCAAUUCCCAGAUGCAGUUCUCCAUCCCCACCUUUACUGCAGGGAGACUAAAUCGUGAAUGAAGCUGUUGAUGGCCAUGAAAUAAAGAAGAACAUAUCAGUGCUGGCUUAUUUUGACAAGCCUAAAAUCUUUGGGGUUAUUAUGGCUGCUUCCCAAAGAGCCUAGCCCAUCUUGCAGUAGAAUGAGUAAACUCAAAAAGAGGGAGAAAGCUAGACCAAAAUAGAUUACUAUGAGCAGGAAAUAUUACAGCCACACAAGCGUAAGCCAUUCUAGCUCCUGAGUCAGAGUCCUGUGUGAGCAUGAGUCAAGUCCCUUAAUUGUAUCAGCACAACCACAAGAGACUUCUAGCUAUGGCACCUUCCUGGGGCCCCUAAGCCAAGCCUAAAGUAGGAAAAAGCCCUAUGUUGUAAAAUUAAACGGCUAGCAGAAAAAAAAAAAACCAUUUCAAAGAGGAUUAAGCCCAGGUUAACAUCUAGAAAAACUGUUACCUGACAAGUAUGCUUUAGUGAGGAAAAGUAUCACAAAAUGUUUGUUUGAAAACAGUCACUUUCCUGUAUGCAACCUUUUUUACUUUGCCACAUUUUGUGCUGCUGGAAAGCUCCUAAAGUUCCUGGCUUGUCCCUCAGUAAUAGUAGUAAUUUCAGACAUACACAGUGCACACAGUGAAUUGCAUAUGUCAAACCUACUCAGUACUCAAACCAAUAUGAUGAGCAGAAAACAAAAAAGAAUGGUGUGGGGGAAAAAAGGAUGGAAUAAAUGUAGUAAAUUUAGUAGGCAUGCACUGGCUAUAUUUUCUGUAAAAUAUCAGGGACAAGAACCCAGGGGGGGUUUUGUGGCUGUGGAUCACCCAAACCUGAAUGAGUUUUUCAUAUUCUUGUGAUUGUCUUUUCCAUAUGCAAACCCAACAGUUCUUAAAACAUAUGUAAAUAAGCGUUAUUUACAAAGGCAGUCCGGUCAUAGAUGUAAAGAAUCCAAAUAGAUUUCCCCUUAACUCAGUUCAGUGUUAUUUUCCAAGCUCCUCUCUUCACACAUGCAAGAGUCUUGCAUUUAGAACAGGCUGCCUGAGGUCACAGACAGGAUUUAACAAGUGCAAGCCUGCUUAAGGAGGCCGAUUUGAACUGAGUGGAUACAGAGCCUUAUUUAUGACACAAUCAUAAUCUGAAUGAAAUUGGUUUAUGUCUUGUUCGUGUGUUUAAGAGUACUGUGCUACCCUUAUGCAAUAUUUGCAUUGGAAAAUAAGAGAUUUGCAUGGGAGUGAAUAACUAACAGUAUUCACAAGGCAUUACAGGAUUUUACAGUGGAUCUUUAAGAAGGAAAUCAGGAUGAUACGGCGGCAUUGAUUUAAAAAUAAAAUCUGGAUGCUAUGUGUGAAAUUCUGUUGAUUUCUUUUAGUGAAAAAGACUGCCUCACCAUCCCUCUGAAUUUAAAAUGCAAAAUCUCUUACCUUUUAAAUAAUACCUUUUGCUCCAGAACACUUGCAACCUAUCUAUCUGCAUCAUGGUGUUAGUGCAGGCAUGUUGAACAAGGAGAAGGGACUGAGUCAGAAUGAGAAAGCCCUGUUUGGAGCACAUAAGGUCAUCUCUUGAAUAGGAGGAUUUUCUGCUAGCAGCUGCCACUGCUGAAUCUGACCAGCGACUGGAAGGCAUCAUGCCAGAAGCUAGGAGAUAAAAAGAUCUUCAGGCUGGGAAGCACAAAACUGAAAUGGAGAGGAGCUGAUCAGCUCUUUUUUCUAGUUUUAAAGAUAGGUCAGGAAGGUGAGUGAGGCAAUGACUGAUGGGGUUGGCACCUGUGGGUUUGGCUAUGGGGGAAAGAUACACUAAGGUAAAUUUAAUUAGCUCUGAAGCCAGCAUAGUUAUUGCAGUGUCUGUCCCUGAUAUGCACCUUUUUGGUACAGGAGGGCAUUUUUCAUUUUCAACCUGUCAUUAAUGGAUUCAAAGUAAAUGGGAAAAAUCCUGCUUACUCUGUCAUAAAUAUGUACACGUGAAAGUUUGCUCUGAUAAAAAAAAGUAGAGACAAAUCCAUGUCAGGAAAGAUUUGUCAGAAUGGCCUUUCCAGAAAGCUCUCUUAAGACAAGGGCAUCCUGUAGGGGCAACAAAAGGCUUUGCCUGUGUAACAUGAACAAAAACACGUGCAAAAGGGCCAAAUAAGCUGUGCGCUGUACCACUUCUGUGCAACAAUGAGUGGGUUUCACCUUGGAGUGCUACUGGUAUAAAAAGGGUGCAAGACAAAGCACCUUGCUGGCCAUUUGUAUGGCUACCAAGGUUACUUGUUACAUCAACCUUUUUGUCUGUUUAAACUCACAUCUAUCUUAUUUUAUACCGCAUUUUAUGUCAUUUAAGACUAGUCUGGUGAUGCAUAAAGACACCACCAGACAGAUUAUUGUUCUAUCUAUACCUUGGCUGCUAAUCAAUUUCUAAGGCAACAGUGAGCACAUUGAAGAACAUAUUUAACACCUGAUAACAUAUAACACACAGGUAACACAUUGGUUUUGCACAGGCACACACAGAAGAUGACUCUAUUGAUUUGGACUUUACUGCUGAAAAAAUUAACUACUUUUUUUUUUUAACCUUAGAGAAACCAACAAGUGCCAGCUCUCCUGUCAGAAGAACAUAGUCAAGAUAAGGUGCUUUUUAAUUUUGGACUGAGGGGAAUUUUCCAAGGUCAGACCCAGCCUAAGAAGACAGGGCAGAUCUUGCUAAACUAAACUUAUGGUAAAGUACCCAGCACUUGGCUGUGUUUCCAGUUUGGCCUUUCAGCAGUCCUCUCCACAUAGCACAAAGCUUAUAAAAGAGACCUAAAUUCUACAUGCAACUGAAAUUUGCUGGACAUCUAUGUGCCUAUGACAAGUCUCUGAAACAGGGAGCAGUAUGUCCAGGGUGUUUCAUUAUCUUUGGUGAUGCAAUUUCUGUUUGGAAUAGUCAUGUCCACACACAUGGAAUUGCUAUGCCUACACAGCUGUUACAACAUUGCUGCUUUGCAUUCUUGGGAGAUUCCAUGGUUUAUUGCCUUACCCUACUGGUUUUUUCCAUUCUUGCUCACUGUGAAUACUCCAGUACAGAAAGUAGUGGAGUAUUUUCUAUGAUUUUGUCUCAUUUCAUCACAACUUUGGAAAUGAGCUCUGUUUUUAAAGGACUAUUGAUCAUCAGACAAGAAGCACUGAAGACCACUGAGAGGCUCCUGGGGCUACUUGCAUACCUUUAGAGUCAGAUGCCCAGCUGAAGCUGAGAAGGGAACUGACUAAGAACUAAUUCAUGAAAAGGUGAAGCUCGGUAGUGAUGACAUUUCAAAAGGUUUGGGAAUAUUAACCUUCAAGAACCUUAAAAGGAGAAAUUGCCCCACAACUGUAAGAAAGGAACAUUUCAUAAGGGUUUAUCUUGGCUUGGUGAAAUAUACUCAUCCAUUUUCAUCUGUAGAGUCACCAUUCUCAUUUGGUAACCAUUUCUGUAGACAGAAAUCUCCAGAAAAAAAUGAUCAGGUUUAUUGUGAAUGGGUUGUAUGCAAGAACUAAAAUCCUGGUUGGCAUAUAUGAGUUGGCAACACACAAGAAUUUAUUGAUGAGACUAAAUAUUUGAAAUUAGUUAAUUUUGUUUAGGUCAUUAGGUAAUUCUAUGAUUCUAGCAUUAAUGUGACAGAUAAGAUUAUUCUCACUUCAGGCUGUACCUCAGAGAAGGUGGCAUUUUCCUAUGAUACAGCAGAUGAUCACUAUGGGAAACUUACUAACACUAGAAUGACAUGAUGAGUAAGUCCAAGAAAGUCACAUUUUUAGAAAGACUAGACUAUUUAAUGCUAUUUUUUUCAUUAAGGGCAAAUAUAGAAAAUAAUAAAGCUAUGAUUAUUGUUGUCUGUUCAAAAGACUGAGCAUACCCACAUAUCAAUGCUUCCCCUGUUUUUGGAGAUUUUGAAAGGAUGCCUUAUUCUCGACCAUGAGGGGCGAUUUUAGACUGUGCCUCAAUAAUAUUCAAAAGCUGUAUGCUUGAUUGGAGAAAUCUGCCUCAUGAAAAUCACUUUAUCUGUAGAAAGAAACUCUGCAGAUUCUUUCACAGCAAAGUAAACAGAAACACUGAGAAAAUUUGAGAAGUAAGUAAAAGAGUGAUGGUAAGCUCCUCCAUCUGACCAGAAAGACUAGAGUCAGGGAUGCCCCACAAGUUGUGAAGUGAAUGCACAUUUGUGAACCAAGUGCCUGCCCUCUUGGGGCAGAAGUAGGGAAAUCUUUAUAUAUGAGGAUUUUUAAUAUAUCACACAACAGGAAUUUUAUUGAAUUCUGUAAAGCUUUUAAUAUAAUCAAGCAAGGUAAGGAAAAUAAUUUCAGAAAGUAUAACUUAGGGCAAGAGAGCAGCAGAAAAUAUUCUUUGGAACUUCAGAAACAUACUACCCCUUUGGGCAGAUGAAUAAGUUUAUAGGGUCCCACACAAUCACAUUUUAUUUGCUGCUUUGCAAUGUGGAAUGUGGAAGAACAAACCUGUACCUGCAAACUGCUACCUCAGUAGACCCACUGUUAGUGAACAAGUUUUAUAUCUGAAAAAAAACAUAUUCAGAUUUAUCUGCUGACUGUCUUCUGCAAAAGCUGUUUCUAAAGGAUCAUGACUAUCCUCCUCUACUCUCUCUCCUCUUAAUCAUGCUAAAUUUUUUUUUUCCAUUUCUCCAUAAUUUAUCACUUUUUGUGUACAGAAAAUCAAUAAAUAUGCUACACUUUGAUUUCCUUUCCUUUUUGAGUAGAUUGGACAGGUGUUUAUCCAGCGUAGGCACCUGUGGCUGUGGUUGCUGCAAUGUAGCAUGGAUGAGAAUGAUAAAAAGGAACAAGUAGUCAUUACCAAAGAAAUGGCCUCUGUGCCAAAAAUAAUAAAAUAUAGCUCUUUCCUUAAUUGCACAAUAUCCUUGCCAAAAUAGGGAACUGUGUUUCCCUGAAGAUUUCUUUUUUAAUACCCAUGGGUCAGUAUAAAGUCAUCUGUUAAAUAACUAUGAUUCUGCUGUCACUAAAGAUAUAAAAUACUGAGAAUCUCUGUAGUUAUAAUAUUUGUGUAGUCAGAUUUGGAUGAUUUGUAGCAACUCAGUCUAAAGUUGAAGGUAAAUUUAAAAAAGUCAGAAUAUUUAUUCUAUCCUCUUUUUUUCUGUUGUUAUCCUUUUGUUUCUGCUCUUACAAUUCAUUUAACUUCCACUUCUUAGGCCACACAAUGUUGCCCUGUUACACAUGCAUGUCUCUGAUGGAAAUGGUAGAAUAGGAGAGAAGAGUAACCAUGGUGAAAGGCUGUUCAGAAGACUUCAUCUAAAAGUUGAUUUACAUAAGUAGGACUGAGGUCUUGAACCUUGAGGCACUUCAGUGAUCAACUCCAAAGCUGGUAUAGAAAAUAAUUUGUUUAAAAUAAUUUUUGUGUCUUGAAGAUUUAGAGGGUCACUUGCUUCUUUUUCUCAUGAUUAUAUAACAAACAUUUUUCUUUUUUUUAUCUCGGUUAGAAAAGAGAAAUGCUGCAUGGAUGUCCAGAUGUAGAAGUCUUCUCGGCAAAAGAAGUGGAUCAGGACGUAUCACCACGGGCUCCUUUUAUUGUCUGUGGGGGGAAAAAUGGAGAAAGAAAAAACACUAUAAGGCAUGAUUCAUACCAUCCUAAUGUAGGCAUCUAAAAUAGGUCAGGUUCAUUGAGCUCUAAAAUGUCUGUUUUUCUCUAUGGACAGAGGCAUGGUCACCCUGGGGAAUCACUGGCUUAGAUGUGGAUAUCUAUGUUAUCAAGUAAGGUGAGAUGAUUUCCACCCCGUGUAACUUUGUGACCAAGAGUAAAUAUCUAUAAAGAAAGAAACAUUGCCUCUAUAAAAAAGGGCUUCUAAUGGAAUGAUAUGUGCUAAAGCUCUUGUUCCACAUUCCCUACAAUGACCUAGAUCCUAUAAAACAUAAAGAUUGAAAUCUUGUCCCAGAGAAAAGCAUGGUAUAAUACUGCAUUAUCCUUAUUCUGACUUGUGAAACUGAUUUCUCAUUCAACUUAAAACACAUGCCAAGAAGUACACAGCAAUGAUCUGAUUAAAGAUAUGCACACAGAAUUCAGAGCUGAUAAUUAUGUGUCUUAUAAUUACUGCAUACAGCAGUACAUCAAUAUAUUAGCGUAUAUACAUACAUGUGUGUAUAUACAUGCUAAUAGAACACUUAAAAGACAAUUAUAGAUAAUGGUUGUAAUUUCAUACAUUAAUAAAUCCACUAUAUUGGUAUGCAAACUAAAUAGGUCUAUGAAAAAGUAGGGAUAAUGACAACAAGAAUAUUUCCUUAUUUUAUUCUGAAUUUCUGAAAGACUAUUUAGCACAAUAGAAAUCUUAGUGCUGACAUAGUUCCAUCACUAAUUGGGGAAAAGAAAAGCAUUCAUUGAAUAUUUCUGUUUUGCAUUUAGAAAGAAGAGCAGUUUCUGCAUUGCCAAACUAUCUUCUACUCUGACAUUUUCUAAAGCAGAUGGUAAAGAACAUCUAUUAAUUUUUUUAUAUUGGCAGGUCCACAUAACUUGAUUGAAAGAUUUUAAAAACAAUUUGUACUGCUCUGCAUUGGUAAAAAGCUUUGGCAUACUGGAGAAGUCCAAGAGGCCUGGAAAAAUCAAAUGCCCUGUUGAUAUCUCAACAACGUAAACAGGAUGACCACCGUAACUCUAGAUGAGUUAACUUGACCUUGGUUCCAUGUGAAAGAAUGGAGCAGCUGAUAUGGGACUGUGUCCAUAAGGAAAUAGAAAAUGGUAACAUAAUUACUGCCAGUCAACAGGACUUUAUGCAAAACAGGUUAAGUUAAACAAACUGCAUAGUACUUUUAUGAGCUAAGAAUUCUGAUGAAUUGAUUUUUUUAAGAAAGGUAACUAUGUUGACAAAACAAUGCCUUUCAGACUUCUGUUAAGCAUUGAUACCACAUGACACUCUGAUUAAAUGUUACACCAGAACACAACCAAGACAACAUACAAUAAAUGAGACUAAACCAUAGAACUCAGAAUUUCAAUGUGUAAUUGCUAACUAAAAUUUACCAAGUAUCACCAGUGUGCUGCUACAAAGACUCUUCCAUGCCUUAGAUAGUUAUUCAAUCCAUUUACUUAUGGGAUGACAAAAAAAAAAAAAAAAAAAAAAAGAGGGCAUAAACUGUAAUAAUAUCUCUCAAUUCUGAAAAUGGCAAGAGGAGAGAAAUUAUGAGGACAGAUUGCAAACAGGAAGUGAUUUAUGCAAUGGUAGCUAAGUAAAAAUUAUAUGGGUAUAAAUAUUGCCAAUUAAAAGCUGUUUUGGGAGUAGAAUAUAGAGAUUAAAGUUGCAGGACUGAGUGUAGUGGGUCUAAAAAAAUGGGUAGAAGAUGGUUGAUGGUUAAUUUUUUUAGUGCAAAAGAGCACUAAGUUGGUUAAUGUGAUCCAUGGCUUUACACUGGAAGAGGUGAGAACUGGUCUUUUUAUGGCUGUUAUAGUCAGACCAAAUUGAGCUCUCCAUAGAGAAAGACAGAAGCAAUGAAAGCUACCACCCUACAGACACAUAUUACUCUUUUUUGAACUAUAAAACCAAGCAGUUUCCUUGGGAUAUAUUGCAAACACAGCAGAUGAAGAAAUAGUUAGCAGGGGUUAUGUACAUCUGCAUAAAUAAGGCACAAGAAGAACAGCGGGGGGUUUUUCCUUGUUGUGUUUGGGGAAACCAGACUUUGGCUACAUUAUUUGUAAAUAAAGUUGCACAACUUUGCUA
Long non-coding RNA from Haemorhous mexicanus (house finch), 11684 nucleotides. RefSeq lists it as uncharacterized. The record is from RefSeq and is a predicted model, not a curated record. NCBI's taxonomy places the organism in Eukaryota, Metazoa, Chordata, Aves, Passeriformes, Fringillidae. The transcript has 5 exons.